AUUGAACGCUGGCGGCAUGCUUUACACAUGCAAGUCGAACGGUAACAGGCCGCAAGGUGCUGACGAGUGGCGAACGGGUGAGUAAUGCAUCGGAACGUGCCCAGUCGUGGGGGAUAACGCAGCGAAAGCUGUGCUAAUACCGCAUACGAUCUAUGGAUGAAAGCGGGGGACCGUAAGGCCUCGCGCGAUUGGAGCGGCCGAUGUCAGAUUAGGUAGUUGGUGGGGUAAAGGCUCACCAAGCCAACGAUCUGUAGCUGGUCUGAGAGGACGACCAGCCGCACUGGGACUGAGACACGGCCCAGACUCAUACGGGAGGCAGCAGUGGGGAAUUUUGGACAAUGGGCGCAAGCCUGAUCCAGCAAUGCCGCGUGCAGGAAGAAGGCCUUCGGGUUGUAAACUGCUUUUGUACGGAACGAAAAGGUUUGGGUUAAUACCCUGGGCCGAUGACGGUACCGUAAGAAUAAGCACCGGCUAACUACGUGCCAGCAGCCGCCGUAA
Molecule: ribosomal RNA, 498 nt
Filed under: uncultured bacterium
Lineage: Bacteria
Description: partial 16S ribosomal RNA
Rfam family: Bacterial small subunit ribosomal RNA
Source: RNAcentral